GAUGAACGCUGGCGGCGUGCUUAACACAUGCAAGUCGAACGAAGCUGUUAAAAGGAAGUCUUCGGAUGGAAUUUUAACAGACUUAGUGGCGGACGGGUGAGUAACGCGUGGAUAACCUGCCUUAUACAGGGGGAUAACGGAGAGAAAUUUCCGCUAACACCGCAUAAGACCACAGCACCGCAUGGUGCAGGGGUAAAAUAUUAAUAGGUAUAAGAUGGAUCCGCGUCCGAUUAGCUAGUUGGUGAGGUAGAGGCUCACCAAGGCGACGAUCGGUAGCCGGCCUGAGAGGGUGAACGGCCACAUUGGGACUGAGACACGGCCCAAACUCCUACGGGAGGCAGCAGUGGGGAAUAUUGGACAAUGGGGGAAACCCUGAUCCAGCGACGCCGCGUGAGUGAAGAAGUAUUUCGGUAUGUAAAGCUCUAUCAGCAGGGAAGAAAA
This 441-nucleotide ribosomal RNA is filed under the name Lachnoanaerobaculum saburreum. RNAcentral's name for it is "bacterial SSU rRNA". It matches the Rfam family "Bacterial small subunit ribosomal RNA", at positions 28 to 451 of the family's 1533-position model. Lineage: Bacteria; Bacillati; Bacillota; Clostridia; Lachnospirales; Lachnospiraceae. The record is from RNAcentral.